RNAcentral lists this long non-coding RNA (2242 nucleotides) under Canis lupus familiaris (dog). Its description in RNAcentral is "lncRNA (ENSCAFG00845010130.1)". The record is from RNAcentral. Lineage: Eukaryota; Metazoa; Chordata; Mammalia; Carnivora; Canidae.
GCCAGUUUCCCCAUCUAAAAGUGGAAAUAUUCCACAUAGUGCUGAGCUUGUCAGUGAACUGGCCCUGGGGAGACCCCGCACUCUCUGCAAAGUCCAGGAGGGUCUCUUGGCGGGGGUCCCCUACAGAGAAGCCACCUCCCCUGCAAACAAUACAAAGACAACAAGGCAACAAGGACCUCUGUUGGCCUCGGGCUUUUAGAACCAAAAUGAGCCAAGAUGAUCAGUGGUACCCAGGCCACAGGAGAACAUUCAAGUGUGACGUCCCCAAGUAUGUUCAAGGAAGAGCAUUGGUGUGGGGCACCUGGGUGGUGCCGUUGGUGAAGCAUCUUAUUCAGCUCAGGUCAGGACCUCAUGCGUUGUGAGAUGGAAUUGGGCUCUUUCCCUCUGCUCCUCCUUCAACUCAUGCUCUCUAAAAUAAAUCUUUUUUAAAAAUCAUGUUUAUUUAGGAAAACAUAAUUCUCGUGACGUCCUUGUUGGAGAUACUUUACGCUAAAAAUGAAAACCCUGCAAGCGCCGUGUAGGGCCACCCUCGCUUAGAGGCGCUAAACCAGGAAAGACCUUCCGGGCCGCGCACGCGCACAGCGCUCUGCCGCAGAGGCCCGACACCACCGCGCAAACCGCCGGGGGGCUGAAGGGGGGAGGGGCCCGCGCACGCGCAGAGCUGCACAACAUGGCGGCUACGAGAGGUCAGGGAAGGGAGAGAGAGGAGAGGCCUUGCCAGAGACCCCAAGAGGGUUGAAAUACGGUUCCUCCCUAUACCAGACUGGAUUCCACCAGAGCACGUCCUGGCUGUCUUGCUCCCUUCCCGCUGCAUCUUCAGCCCCAAACAGCAUUAUUCUUGCCCCAGCCCCUGCCCUGGGAAGCCUGCAAGUCUUCCCUUCUGCUGUUGCUUAUUUGUGUCCUUCAGGCCACAGGUCAGGGUCUCAAAAUAACCCAUGUUCAGAUGUCCCUGAACGUGGCCUUCUACUUCAGAACCGGACCCCAUGGGGAAAACAUGAAGGGUUCGUAUAUCUAGCCUCCCAGUUAUAAGAGCAGAGCAAUGGUGUGGUGGGACCAUAGAUUCAAUAUUACAUAAAACAUUUAGGACCUUUACUGAGUAAAGAGCUUUGAGAGAAAACUCUGGUGGACAAUGACAUAGAGACUUGGAUGGUGCCUCACACAUGAGAGAUGGUUUCCCUGCACAAGCCAUUGAAUAAAUGCAAAUUGAAACAAGAUUCCUUUUCUCCUAUCAGAGGGCUAGAGAUGAAAACAUCAUAAUAUCCCUUGUUGACAGGGAGGGAUGCAAAUGGGCGUCCUAUCUGCACCAAAGACCUCAAAAUGAGAUGGCCCUCAUCUGCGUGGUUCUGGGACCCCUUGUCAUGUAGAGAAACAUCAACCCUCAUCCAAAAAUAAGAGAAAAGCAUCUGUAGUCCUUGUUAUGGCCUUUCAAGAAAAUACCAAAGGGGAACUUCUCAAAUUAUAGCUUCUCUCCUUUGCCCUCUGGUGUGUGGAUCCUGGGGAGGCUGUCUCUUGUGCCCCUCUUCUCCUGGCUCCUCUGGGGCAGCUGGGUGGGCAUGGGCACCAGGCUCAGUCUUUAAUCUGUUCUCUAGCCCACCAUGACCUCACUCCUCAUGAGAAAGGGGCCAGAGCCUUACCCUCAGCCCCUCUUGGGGGCCUGGGGUCAGUGGUGGGUAAGAUGCUGAGAUGUGUGGCUGCAGGUGCUAGCCCGUGUUUACAUGUUUCCGUUCGGUCUCAUUGCAUGUGGUGUGUUGUACAUUAGAAUCACCCUGAAGUUAGCAGGUAAACCAAACUCUCAUGAAAAAAAACGAGGUGAAGGAAAAGAGUGCAGGGAGAGUGCUUUUGUGAAGCUCUGAUCUAAAAAUAUGUGCAGAGCAACCAUGUCUCAAAAGCCCCACCCAGAGCAAUGGUCCAUACCUUGGGGGAGAUGCUUCCCGGCGCUGCCAAUGCUGUUUCCCCUCAGAUUUUUGCCUAGUGGCUAGAAACUAUUGUUAUGAUGUUGUGUGCCUAAUGGUGAUAUUUUACUUCCUUCAUCCCUUCUACAUUUAUUAACAAGAGCUUUCCUGUAGGAAAACACUGUUCCUUCUCCCACAUUUAUAUACUUAUUUGGAUGUUUAUAUCAGUAUGAUAUAAACAUAGCAUGAUCUUUGUGGAAGGAGGGGAAACUUUUGUGCUAGGCCUUCAUUUAUGUUUUUUUGAUCCUUUAGUGAGUGUGGGGAACACCUCUGUUGUUUCUAGCUCCCCC